GCGCCUUUAGCUCAAUUGGAUAGAGCAUCUGACUACGGAUCAGAAGGUUGCAGGUUCGACUCCUGCAAGGCGCGCCA
Molecule: transfer RNA, 77 nt
Filed under: Bacteroidales bacterium
Lineage: Bacteria; Pseudomonadati; Bacteroidota; Bacteroidia; Bacteroidales
Description: tRNA-Arg
Rfam family: tRNA
About the family: Transfer RNA (tRNA) molecules are approximately 80 nucleotides in length. Their secondary structure includes four short double-helical elements and three loops (D, anti-codon, and T loops).
Source: RNAcentral